RNAcentral lists this ribosomal RNA (444 nucleotides) under grassland soil bacterium TSA-19. RNAcentral's name for it is "bacterial SSU rRNA". It matches the Rfam family "Bacterial small subunit ribosomal RNA", at positions 70 to 500 of the family's 1533-position model. The record is from RNAcentral.
UGAUGGGAGCUUGCUCCCUGAGAUUAGCGGCGGACGGGUGAGUAACACGUGGGCAACCUGCCUAUAAGACUGGGAUAACUUSGGGAAACCGGAGCUAAUACCGGAUACGUUCUUUUCUCGCAUGAGAGAAGAUGGAAAGACGGUUCUGCUGUCACUUAUAGAUGGGCCCGCGGCGCAUUAGCUAGUUGGUGAGGUAAUGGCUCACCAAGGCGACGAUGCGUAGCCGACCUGAGAGGGUGAUCGGCCACACUGGGACUGAGACACGGCCCAGACUCCUACGGGAGGCAGCAGUAGGGAAUCUUCCGCAAUGGACGAAAGUCUGACGGAGCAACGCCGCGUGAACGAAGAAGGCCUUCGGGUCGUAAAGUUCUGUUGUUAGGGAAGAACAAGUACCAGAGUAACUGCUGGUACCUUGACGGUACCUAACCAGAAAGCCACGGCUAA